AAUAGUUCUGUUAGUGAACACAUACUCAGAAUGUCUGGGUUGCACAACCGCUUGUCUCAGCUGCGAGUUAAUCUCCCGGAUGACGCGGUCAUUGACAGAAUCCUUCAGUCGCUUCCACCAAGCUACAAGAGCUUUGUGAUGAACUUCAAUAUGCAGGGGAUGGAAAAGACCAUUCCUGAGGUAUAUUCAAUGCUGAAAUCAGCGGAGGUGGAGAUCAGAAAAGAACAUCAAGUGUUGAUGGUGAAUAAAACCACUAAGUUCAAGAAGGGCAAGGGUAAGAAGAACUUCAAGAAGGACGGCAAGGGAGUUGCUGCGCCGGUAAGCCAGUUACCGGGAAGAAGUCAAAGAAUGGACCCAAGCCUGAGACUGAGU
RNAcentral lists this ribosomal RNA (372 nucleotides) under Triticum aestivum (bread wheat). Its description in RNAcentral is "partial small subunit ribosomal RNA". Lineage: Eukaryota; Viridiplantae; Streptophyta; Magnoliopsida; Poales; Poaceae. The record is from RNAcentral.